RNAcentral lists this microRNA (23 nucleotides) under Pristionchus pacificus. RNAcentral's name for it is "ppc-miR-2235a-11-3p". Lineage: Eukaryota; Metazoa; Nematoda; Chromadorea; Rhabditida; Neodiplogasteridae. The record is from miRBase by way of RNAcentral.
UCACCGGGAGUUAUUGCUUGAUC